Salvia splendens (bonfire salvia) is the source of this 958-nucleotide long non-coding RNA. RefSeq lists it as uncharacterized. The transcript is spliced from 4 exons. The record is from RefSeq and is a predicted model, not a curated record. NCBI's taxonomy places the organism in Eukaryota, Viridiplantae, Streptophyta, Magnoliopsida, Lamiales, Lamiaceae.
GUGGUUGUGCUUCUAUGUGACUGAUUCUGUGUGGAAGACACCAUUCCAUGGUUCCUUUCCUCCAGUCUCAAAAGUGCUACACUACCCUAGACAUGCAUCCUAAUGAGGCUGGGGUAUGUGCAAGGGAGGUUUACUGAUUUCUCAGAUUCUCAUGUUAUCAUAAAUCGUUUCCAUGUUUUGUUUCUAUCAUGCUCGAAUGAUGCCAUUAAACUUGAGAUUUAAGCUGAUGGGUGUUACCUUUCCCUUGUAACCCCGCUGAACUUGCUAAGCUACUCCCUUCCUUGGUCUUGACCUCUCUUGCUCCUCCGCUUGCUGCUCCGUUUAGUAACUAGUUUGUUGUGUGGUGGGGGAUGGAACUGAGGAGGAGAUUGGCAUAUUUAUGCACAGCUUGUAACUGAAAGCUGCACAAUGACUGAGGUGCACACUAGAGGUGGCACUGUGGGGGCUGAUUUCCGGACUAUAACCGGUUUGGGUAGGGAAAGCAAGGGCUGUUAUCUGCAGCUUUGCAGAGUAUUAGCUGGAGGGGAGCCUGCUGGCUGGAGUUUGCUUCUUUCGGUCCAACACUCACUCACAUUUCUGCAAGAUCACGGAGUUGCCGAGCUUGGUGCCGAACUGCCGAGCUCGGUGCCGAACUGCCGUGCUUGGUGGCGAACUGCCGAACUCGGUGCCGAACUGCCGUGCUUGGUGGCUGCUCGUUUGGCUGGUGUGAGCCGUGGAGUGCAGGGAUAAAGCAACCUCUUACCUUUCUUUUUUUUCGGGACAAGAGGCUGACUCUUCUCGGUUGCUGUCUCGUCUGUUCAGCCCAACGGGCCAUCGGAAACUGGGCCGAAACCAUGCUAGAAGAAGGGCCCGAAGCUAGUAGUUUCAUUUGUAAAGAGAUAGGGUUUCUAUUUGAAAUUCUCUCUUUUUCUUAACAUGUAAAAGUUUAUUGGUGUGUAUUUAAUUCCAAACACUUGAA